GCCAGGUGUGGUGGUGCACGCCUGUAAUCCCAGCGGCUUGGAGGAUGAGGCAGGAGGACUGCAAGUUCAAAGCCAGCGUCAGCGAUAUAGCAAGGCCCUAAGCAACUUAGUGAGAACUUGUCUCAA
Molecule: small RNA, 126 nt
Filed under: Marmota monax (woodchuck)
Lineage: Eukaryota; Metazoa; Chordata; Mammalia; Rodentia; Sciuridae
Source: RNAcentral